RNAcentral lists this ribosomal RNA (256 nucleotides) under uncultured bacterium. RNAcentral's name for it is "partial 16S ribosomal RNA". It matches the Rfam family "Bacterial small subunit ribosomal RNA", at positions 524 to 776 of the family's 1533-position model. The record is from RNAcentral.
UACGGAGGAGGCAAGCGUUAUCCGGAAUUAUUGGGCGUAAAGCGUCCGCAGGUGGCACUUCAAGUCUGCUGUCAAAGACCGGGGCUUAACCCCAGAAAGGCAGUGGAAACUGAAGUGCUAGAGUGCAGUAGGGGGUAGAGGGAAUUCCCGGUGUAGCGGUGAAAUGCGUAGAUAUCGAGAGGAACACCUGCGGCGAAGGCGGGUUGCUGGGCUGAUGACUGACGCUGAGGCGCGAAAGCCAGGGGGAGCGAACAGG